This 66-nucleotide transfer RNA is filed under the name Tetraselmis striata. It matches the Rfam family "tRNA", at positions 5 to 66 of the family's 71-position model. From Rfam's summary of the family: Transfer RNA (tRNA) molecules are approximately 80 nucleotides in length. Their secondary structure includes four short double-helical elements and three loops (D, anti-codon, and T loops). Lineage: Eukaryota; Viridiplantae; Chlorophyta; Chlorodendrophyceae; Chlorodendrales; Chlorodendraceae. The record is from RNAcentral.
UAUUAGCUCAGUUGGCUAGAGCGCACCCCUGAUAAGGGUGAGGUCGCUGGUUCAAAUCCAGCAUAG